This 534-nucleotide ribosomal RNA is filed under the name uncultured bacterium. RNAcentral describes it as "bacterial SSU rRNA". It matches the Rfam family "Bacterial small subunit ribosomal RNA", at positions 774 to 1306 of the family's 1533-position model. The record is from RNAcentral.
AGAGAAUAGAUACCCUGGUAGUCCACACGGUAAACGAUGAAUGCUAGGUGUAGGAGGUAUCGACCCCUUCUGUGCCGCAGUUAACACAAUAAGCAUUCCGCCUGGGGAGUACGGUCGCAAGAUUAAAACUCAAAGGAAUUGACGGGGGCCCGCACAAGCAGCGGAGCAUGUGGUUUAAUUCGACGCAACGCGAAGAACCUUACCAGGUCUUGACAUCCAGUUAAAGCUGUUGAAAGAUAGUGUCCCUUCGGGGGAACUGAGACAGGUGGUGCAUGGUUGUCGUCAGCUCGUGUCGUGAGAUGUUGGGUUAAGUCCCGCAACGAGCGCAACCCUUAUUGAUAGUUACUAACGCGUAGAGGCGAGGACUCUAUUGAGACUGCCGGGGACAACUCGGAGGAAGGUGGGGACGACGUCAAAUCAUCAUGCCCCUUAUGACCUGGGCUAUACACGUGCUACAAUGGCCGAUACAGAGAGAAGCGAAAGCGCGAGCCGGAGCGGAUCUCACAAAAGCGGUCGAAGUUCGGAUUGUGGGCU